This 1341-nucleotide long non-coding RNA is filed under the name Anolis carolinensis (green anole). RNAcentral describes it as "lncRNA (ENSACAG00000037176.1)". Lineage: Eukaryota; Metazoa; Chordata; Lepidosauria; Squamata; Anolidae. The record is from RNAcentral.
CGAGGGGGCUGCAUUUAGCUACAUUUAUUCCAAGACAGGUGAAGAGGUGGCAUGGGAACACAUAGGUCCUUAAAAUUAGAUGAAUUGCAUCUAAAGAUAUUUUUUAAACUUGCAGGUAUAAUCUCAGAGAUUCAGUAUGUAAUCUUUGAUAAUUCUUGGUGAACAGAUGAAUUCGAUGCAAACUGGAUGUGGAUGAGUGUUAUCUUCAUUUAAAAGGGAGGGGGAUCUGAUCAACUACUGGCUAGUCAACUUGAUGGUGACAGCAGAAAAAUUCUAGAAUUUUGCAUUUAUGCCUAUUGAAUUUCAUUUUAUUAUUGUCUGCCCAACUUACUUAUAACCUAGGUCAUGUUGAAUUUUAUCUUCCAAUGUGUUGGUCACCCCCCUCCCCACUUUUGUAUCAGCCCAAAAACUGAUAAGGUUCCUUUAAACCCAGUCAUCUAAGUCACUGAUAAAAAUGCUGAAGAGUAAUGGCCCUGGGACAGAACCCCAAAGCACUCCAUUCACAACCUCCUUCCAGUUUGAAGAGCAGCUGUUGAUUAUGACUCUUUAACCAGAGUUUCCCAAUUAACUAUGGAUUCAUCUGACAGUGUUCCCAUUUAUUCCAUAAGUGAAAUAACAGCAUCACUCUGUUCUGCUUUGCUCAGAUCUCACCAAGCAAACUAUAAGAUAAAGAACAACUCCCAAGAAUGUAGCCACACAGGUGACAACGUUUCCCAUUAAAUUUCCUUCAUUCUACAAAUUUCCAGAUUUGCUGUAACAUAAAACUUCACUUCUCUCCAUCGCCUUAUUAUGGAAAUGAUUGGUGUUGAGCUAACCAGAACUGAGUUACGAGGAGAAAGAUGUUAAAAGACUACAAACUGCUUUGAAAACAACGUGCUUUGUAAGUAAUAAUGAAUACAAACAAAGAUAGCCAUGUGCGAUUAGUACCUGAAAUAUACCAUUGCUCUGUGUCAUGUAGAGAUUUUAAAACACUUACACACAUGCAGCUAGGAAGCCAAGGGGUUCAGGAAUAACCUUGCUGGGUGUGGGCACGGCAUGAAACUCUAAUACAAGAAGAGACACUACCAAGAUUAGAAGUCAUGCUCUGAUUAGUUUAUUCAUUAGUCAGUCAUGUUUCUAGCCUGCUGUUCCUCUUAAAUUUGUUCAGGGCAAUGUUGCUGCUAUGUGAUAAUACUUUAGUCUAGAUAUACUGUUAACUAGUCUACCACAAGCUGGUAACAUCCAGAUCUUUUAGUCUCUAUUUCCCAUCCUGGACAAUGAGGAAUUAGUCUAAGACAUCUUCAGGGCACCAGUUUUAGGAGAGGCUGGGUUAAGUAUUUGUUUUUAGAGGAGAAGACUUCA